RNAcentral lists this ribosomal RNA (551 nucleotides) under uncultured archaeon. Its description in RNAcentral is "bacterial SSU rRNA". It matches the Rfam family "Archaeal small subunit ribosomal RNA", at positions 326 to 877 of the family's 1478-position model. The record is from RNAcentral.
CGGGGUGCAGCAGGCGCGAAAACUUUACAAUGCGGGAAACCGUGAUAAGGGGACACCGAGUGCCAGCAUCAUAUGCUGGCUGUCCAGGUGUGUAAAAUACACCUGUCAGCAAGGGCCGGGCAAGACCGGUGCCAGCCGCCGCGGUAACACCGGCGGCCCGAGUGGUGAUCGUGAUUAUUGGGUCUAAAGGGUCCGUAGCCGGUUUGGUCAGUCCUCCGGGAAAUCUGACGGCUCAACCGUUAGGCUUUCGGGGGAUACUGCCAGGCUUGGAACCGGGAGAGGUAAGAGGUACUACAGGGGUAGGAGUGAAAUCUUGUAAUCCCUGUGAGACCACCUGUGGCGAAGGCGUCUUACCAGAACGGGUUCGACGGUGAGGGACGAAAGCUGGGGGCACGAACCGGAUUAGAUACCCGGGUAGUCCCAGCCGUAAACGAUGCUCGCUAGGUGUCAGGCAUGGCGCGACCGUGUCUGGUGCCGCAGGGAAGCCGUGAAGCGAGCCACCUGGGAAGUACGGCCGCAAGGCUGAAACUUAAAGGAAUUGGCGGGGGAGC